This 399-nucleotide ribosomal RNA is filed under the name uncultured bacterium. RNAcentral describes it as "bacterial SSU rRNA". It matches the Rfam family "Bacterial small subunit ribosomal RNA", at positions 355 to 752 of the family's 1533-position model. The record is from RNAcentral.
UGAGGAAUAUUGGUCAAUGGGCGGAAGCCUGAACCAGCCAUGCCGCGUGCAGGACGACGGCCCUACGGGUUGUAAACUGCUUUUCCGGGGGAAGAAUAACCCCCCUGCGGGGGGGGAUGCCGGUACCCCGGGAAUAAGGAUCGGCUAACUCCGUGCCAGCAGCCGCGGUAAUACGGAGGAUCCUAGCGUUAUCCGGAUUUACUGGGUUUAAAGGGUGCGUAGGCGGGCGUUUAAGUCCGCGGUGAAAGUCUGCGGCUCAACCGUAGGAUUGCCGUGGAUACUGGACGUCUUGGAUUCGGUCGGGGCGGCGGAAUGCGUGGUGUAGCGGUGAAAUGCAUAGAUAUCACGCAGAACGCCGAUAGCGAAGGCAGCUCGCCGGGCCGAAAUCGACGCUGAGGC